RNAcentral lists this long non-coding RNA (244 nucleotides) under Homo sapiens (human). Its description in RNAcentral is "HSALNT0016834". Lineage: Eukaryota; Metazoa; Chordata; Mammalia; Primates; Hominidae. The record is from RNAcentral.
AGAACAUGCUCCUUACACCAAGCCGUGGGCGUCUCUCCCUCUCUCCACCAAAUCGGAUCGAAGCAGUAUUUCUUGUAACCAAACUCAGCCAUCCUGCCCUAGGGCUUUUAUUACAGGAGUUGAGAAGCCUCCUCUGUAACCAAGGAGACAAGAAUGUUUCAAAAGCACAUAUGAAGGUUUGAUGCCUGAGAAACUACUAGUGGACAAGUCUAUGACAAUCAACAAAGAAGCACUGAAUUUCGGG